AGGAAGCAGGAAGAACUUUCCCUCAUCCUGCGCCUCUGGUACAUGCUGAACUCUGCCUCCCGGACAGAUGCCUCAGACACCAGAGCAGCAGAAGAAGGAGCGGGGAGUUGCAGGCUACAUUCCUAAGAUGACUUCAGUCCCCCUUAAAGUACCUGCCUGAGGAAAAUGCAAGACUGCUGAAAGAAUUUGCCAUUUGUUCCAGCCAACACCUGAAGACAGGGGCCCGUCUCCCCAUCACUGUGGGAGAGGAGGGACCUAAUGGCAUAAAUACCAGUUGGCAAACCCAGAUGGGUUUCACAUGGACCAACUUCCCUUCCUUGCGUUUUGAACUGUUUCACUCCUCUGACUUUACUGAGC
This is a long non-coding RNA of Puma concolor (puma), 357 nucleotides long. RefSeq lists it as uncharacterized. Lineage: Eukaryota; Metazoa; Chordata; Mammalia; Carnivora; Felidae. The record is from RefSeq and is a predicted model, not a curated record.